RNAcentral lists this long non-coding RNA (719 nucleotides) under Drosophila guanche. Lineage: Eukaryota; Metazoa; Arthropoda; Insecta; Diptera; Drosophilidae. The record is from RNAcentral.
UUCACCUCCCUCCCGACAAAGAAAUUAACCAUGCAAUAAUUCACGGAUGAAAAUUCACCUUAUUAAUAAAAGCGAUGUGAAACCCAAGUCAGCCACAAGCCAGUAGCCAUGGCUAGUAGUAAUACUUUGCAUUGUGGCUAAUAGUAUUAAUAGUAAUUAAACUACUCGACAAAAUCGAACUUUUUAUACCCGGUACUCGAAGAGUAAAUGGGCUAUAUUGUAUUUGUGCACAAAGUGGCUGUAUGUAGAGCACAGAAGGAAACGUUUCCGACCCCAUAAAGUAUAUAUAUUCUUGAUCAGCAUCAAUAGCCGAGUCGAAUGAGCCAUGUCCGUCUAUCCGUCUUAUUGAUCGCCUGGAUCUCAGAGACCAUAAAAGCAGGUUCUAUGCUCACACUAUUACAAGUGUAUUUAAAAAAUGAGCCCCGCCCCCGCAAAAGGCGAAAACCUCCCAAACCUACAAUUUUGUAGAUAAAAGAAAUUUUAGAAUAUUCCGUAGGGAAUGGCCAUAUUUAUUAGAUCACCAAAUUGGGAUCCGAUUGGAUCAUUAUUAUAGCCAGAAUGAAGAAAUUAAUUUGCAGUGGCUAAACCCACCCUGUCCCGCAGAUUUUUUUGGUUUUUUACAUUCUCUCAUUCACACUCUGCUUCGUCCUCUGUCUCUGCCGCGAGUCUGCAGUGUGUGGGUCUAGGGAAGGGCGUCGAGCUAAAGAAGCGUGUUGGUG